Molecule: non-coding RNA, 348 nt
Organism: Vicia faba (fava bean)
Lineage: Eukaryota; Viridiplantae; Streptophyta; Magnoliopsida; Fabales; Fabaceae
Source: the annotation of a GenBank genome assembly
AUGCUCCAGCGGUUGUUUGAACAGAGACGUGAGGGGUGUCACGGCCUUGAGGUUUUCAGCAGCGAGGUUUUUGGAGGUUGGGAUAUAGCAUUUUGGACUGGUUAUGAGCAGGGCAGCAAGGGUAUAGCAAGGCUUUGGAGCAGUAAGAAGGUUGAUUUGAUUUUGCAGGCUGAUAUGCUAAGUUUUGGCCUGUUAUCUUUGUCUUAUGGCUGCAAAAUUAUGGACAAGGAGAUGUCACAAUUUGACUGUUUAUUUGGCAUUAUGCAGGAGCUGGAAUUUUGCAGCAAAGUUUACAAGGUUGUUGAAGGCAAUAUGUGGCAUGAAUUUUGGAUCAAGAACAAGUCUUAG